Aegilops tauschii subsp. strangulata is the source of this 696-nucleotide long non-coding RNA. RefSeq lists it as uncharacterized. Lineage: Eukaryota; Viridiplantae; Streptophyta; Magnoliopsida; Poales; Poaceae. The record is from RefSeq and is a predicted model, not a curated record.
CCCGCCGGGAGGAGGGAGCGCAUGUGCGCAUACCGCGCCCUUUUCCGUUUUCGGUCUGAUUAGCUGUAGUGCCAUCCGCUCUGUCCAUUACAAUUUAGGAAAUCUUUACGUAUUAUAUUUCACAGAUUUUAGCGGAUGAUUCAUCUCAUAUACUACCCACAAAACACGGUCCAGAGGUUCACCAUUAGCAGCCCCGUCCUCCAGAAGCAAGGAAUCCAGAAGCUCGCGCUCGUCUCCUUCUUCUCUGCUGCAAGCUGGAGAAGGAGAAGGCGAUCCUUGAGGAGACAGCAAAAGACCGCCCCAAAAUUCAGGAGGAAGUUCGUCUUGCAAUUGCCACGCUGAUGGAGGGCGAAAAUGCUGGAUUUGUUGUUCCUCGGGCGCGGCUUCCUCAGGCGCGGCUUCCUCCUCAGGCAAACGGCUCCGGCGCGCAGCUUCCUCCUCAGGCAAACGGCUCCGGCGAGAUUCAGGAGGCGAACAAGAAGACUAGCUGAUGGACCGGUUCACUAGUAGUGAAUGUCAGCGUUACUAUUAGAGAUUGAGAUGAGACUAUGGAGGCUAAUAACUGAAGAACUGCCUAAUUCAUGUCAGCAUCAGGGCAGUGUACUCCGUGUGGUAAUCAGACUCUUAACACUCGUCGGUCUGCUUGUAGUACUAAUUAAGUUAUUGUAUCAGACAUUACUGGUAUGUGUGUGGUAA